GCCUAUAAAGAGCAGAUCAUUCAGUUGAGACUUUCUUUCUUUGCUGGAACACGGUUGCGUUACCAUCUGGAUUUGACUGUUGCCCGUUCUGGAUUUGACUGUUGCUACAAUUUCCUCUGCUGGGUUCGCUUGAUCAACAUCUGGAUUUGACUGUUGCCCGUUCUGGAUUUGACUGUUGCUACAAUUUCCUCUGCUGGGUUCGCUUGAUCAAAACAAAAAUGAAUAGAAAGACUGUGCCUGUCUCCUUAUCAGCCUUAAGACGAAGGACACGUGCAGACGUUCAAAAAAGGCCAGGAACUGCAGUCCCUCCUCAACUCCCUCCACCCCCGGCACCAGCCCUCAACAUGGAGCCUUCUUCAAGCCUGGCCUACAGACCAACAUGGCGAGGGGGAAGAAUGGCCGAUACCAUUCCCUGCUCUGCGGCCGAGUUCCAAAUCCUUAGCUUGCUGGAAACCAUCAAACAGCAAAACGACCAGCUUGUGGCUAAGGUGAACCUGCUCACCAGUAGGAUGAACAGCACCCCGGGGCCAGAUGCGGAGAUGCCAGACAGCUUUCAGUUUCCCCUGGAACAAUUGGAGGCAGUGGAGGCAUUUGAAAUGUUUUUAAAGGAACCGUCAAAUGGCCCAGCUCGACAGAGAGUGAUUUCAUCUUUGGCCACCAUUGGAGGCCAGGAUGUGAAGAGGGUGACCUGGAACAUCCUGGGCAGGCUGUUCACAGAUGAGGUCUCCCAUCAGAUCAAUUGGAAGGGUGUCAACAACAAAAAAGCCUUUUAGUAGGAUGGCAACAAAGACCUUGCUUUUCAGUGCUGUGAGGAAAAACGUGGUGACACGGUCAGCCACGGACGCGGAGGUCACCAAACACGCCAUCAGGUGGUUCAACCUGGCGGCGGAUCGGGCGGCGAGGAGACGUGUCCUUCCUCCAUCCACUCCUCCACCCGAAUAACAAUUAAACAAUCUUUUGAUUGAACUUCUUGUCGUUCACCAGUUAUUCAUUUUCUGAUAUUUUAGCUGUAUAUAGCGCAGCAUUUCAUGUUGUAGCCUAAUAGAUAACAUAUUUUAUGUCUGCACCGACCUAUGCCUAUAAAGCACUAAAUUAGGUCCACAAAAUGAAUGUAAAGUAGCCUAGCCAACGU
Long non-coding RNA from Anoplopoma fimbria (sablefish), 1132 nucleotides. RefSeq lists it as uncharacterized. The transcript is spliced from 7 exons. The record is from RefSeq and is a predicted model, not a curated record. Lineage: Eukaryota; Metazoa; Chordata; Actinopteri; Perciformes; Anoplopomatidae.